Molecule: ribosomal RNA, 253 nt
Filed under: uncultured bacterium
Lineage: Bacteria
Description: partial 16S ribosomal RNA
Rfam family: Bacterial small subunit ribosomal RNA
Source: RNAcentral
UACAGAGGUCUCAAGCGUUGUUCGGAUUCAUUGGGCGUAAAGGGUGCGUAGGCGGCGCGGUAAGUCGGGUGUGAAAUCUUGGAGCUUAACUCCGAAACUGCAUUCGAUACUGCCGUGCUUGAGGACUGGAGAGGAGACUGGAAUUUACGGUGUAGCGGUGAAAUGCGUAGAUAUCGUAAGGAAGGCCAGUGGCGAAGGCGGGUCUCUGGACAGUUCCUGACGCUGAGGCACGAAGGUCAGGGGAGCAAACGGG